This 616-nucleotide ribosomal RNA is filed under the name Mycena tenerrima. RNAcentral's name for it is "partial small subunit ribosomal RNA". It matches the Rfam family "Bacterial small subunit ribosomal RNA", at positions 361 to 951 of the family's 1533-position model. Lineage: Eukaryota; Fungi; Basidiomycota; Agaricomycetes; Agaricales; Mycenaceae. The record is from RNAcentral.
AUAUUAGUCAAUGCUCGCAAGAGUGAACUAGCUAACUGAAAUUAUACUUUCUGGGGGACCGGAAAAUAAAUAAUAACGUAAUGGGCUGAACAUAAUUUGUAUUACUGUACUAUAUUAUAAGUAAGAUUGAAAAAAAAUGAUAUUACCAUUACUAUUAGUGCUGUCCAAAGCUGGUGCCAGAAGACUCGGUAAGGCCAGAAGCGCGUACGUUAUUCACAUUAAAUAGGCGUAAAGGGUGUGUAGGCGGCUUUUCAAAACUAAUCUUUUUUUUUAACUACUGGAAUAAGAGAAAGGUGACUAGAAGCUAGAAUCUAAUCGAGGUCAAACAGAAAAAUACUUAGUGUAGGGAUUAAAUCUUUAUAUAUUAAGUGGAUUACCUAUAGGUGUAAGCUUUUUUCCAUUAAAGAUUGACGCUGAGACACGAGGGCAGGAUUAGGAAAUAGGAUUGGAUACCCAAAUUACCACCUGCUGUCAACGAUGUACGGUUUAUUAGGCAGCUACGGCUGCCAUUGACGCUAACGCUAUAACCAUACCGCCUUGCGAGUACGGUUGCAAAACUGAAACCAAAAAAAUUAGUCGUCCUCGGAGCAAACGGAGUGAAGCAUGUUAUUUAAUU